UACGGAGGGUGCAAGCGUUAUUCGGAAUUACUGGGCGUAAAGCGCGUGCAGGCGGGCCGGCAAGUCUGAUGUGAAAGCCCCGGGCUUAACCUGGGAAGUGCAUUGGAAACUGCUGGUCUUGAGUUCUGGAGAGGAAGGGGGAAUUCCCGGUGUAGAGGUGAAAUUCGUAGAGAUCGGGAGGAAUACCAGUGGCGAAGGCGCCCUUCUGGACGGCAACUGACGCUGAGACGCGAAAGCGUGGGGAGCAAACAGG
RNAcentral lists this ribosomal RNA (253 nucleotides) under uncultured Syntrophobacter sp. RNAcentral describes it as "partial 16S ribosomal RNA". It matches the Rfam family "Bacterial small subunit ribosomal RNA", at positions 524 to 776 of the family's 1533-position model. The record is from RNAcentral. Lineage: Bacteria; Pseudomonadati; Thermodesulfobacteriota; Syntrophobacteria; Syntrophobacterales; Syntrophobacteraceae.